This 1485-nucleotide ribosomal RNA is filed under the name Synechococcus sp. AH-707-B22. Its description in RNAcentral is "bacterial SSU rRNA". It matches the Rfam family "Bacterial small subunit ribosomal RNA". The record is from RNAcentral. Lineage: Bacteria; Bacillati; Cyanobacteriota; Cyanophyceae; Synechococcales; Synechococcaceae.
ACAACGGAGAGUUUGAUCCUGGCUCAGGAUGAACGCUGGCGGCGUGCUUAACACAUGCAAGUCGAACGAACCUUCGGGUUAGUGGCGGACGGGUGAGUAACGCGUGGGAAUCUGCCCUCAGGAGGGGGAUAACGGCCGGAAACGGCCGCUAAUACCCCAUAUGCCGAGAGGUGAAAUGAAUUUCGCCUGAGGAUGAGCCCGCGUCUGAUUAGCUAGUUGGUGAGGUAAGAGCUCACCAAGGCAUCGAUCAGUAGCUGGUCUGAGAGGAUGAUCAGCCACACUGGGACUGAGACACGGCCCAGACUCCUACGGGAGGCAGCAGUGGGGAAUUUUCCGCAAUGGGCGAAAGCCUGACGGAGCAACGCCGCGUGAGGGAUGAAGGCCUCUGGGCUGUAAACCUCUUUUAUCAAGGAAGAAGAUCUGACGGUACUUGAUGAAUAAGCCACGGCUAAUUCCGUGCCAGCAGCCGCGGUAAUACGGGAGUGGCAAGCGUUAUCCGGAAUUAUUGGGCGUAAAGCGUCCGCAGGCGGCCCAACAAGUCUGCUGUUAAAAAGUGGAGCUUAACUCCAUCAUGGCAGUGGAAACUGUUGGGCUAGAGUGUGGUAGGGGCAGAGGGAAUUCCCGGUGUAGCGGUGAAAUGCGUAGAUAUCGGGAAGAACACCAGUGGCGAAGGCGCUCUGCUGGGCCAUCACUGACGCUCAUGGACGAAAGCCAGGGGAGCGAAAGGGAUUAGAUACCCCUGUAGUCCUGGCCGUAAACGAUGAACACUAGGUGUCGGGGGAAUCGACCCCUCCGGUGUCGUAGCCAACGCGUUAAGUGUUCCGCCUGGGGAGUACGCACGCAAGUGUGAAACUCAAAGGAAUUGACGGGGGCCCGCACAAGCGGUGGAGUAUGUGGUUUAAUUCGAUGCAACGCGAAGAACCUUACCAGGGUUUGACAUCCUGCGAAUCUCUUGGAAACUUGAGAGUGCCUUCGGGAACGCAGUGACAGGUGGUGCAUGGCUGUCGUCAGCUCGUGUCGUGAGAUGUUGGGUUAAGUCCCGCAACGAGCGCAACCCACGUCUUUAGUUGCCAGCAUUUAGUUGGGCACUCUAGAGAGACCGCCGGUGAUAAACCGGAGGAAGGUGUGGAUGACGUCAAGUCAUCAUGCCCCUUACAUCCUGGGCUACACACGUACUACAAUGCUACGGACAAAGGGCAGCAAGUUCGCGAGGACAAGCAAAUCCCAUAAACCGUAGCUCAGUUCAGAUCGUAGGCUGCAACUCGCCUACGUGAAGGAGGAAUCGCUAGUAAUCGCAGGUCAGCAUACUGCGGUGAAUACGUUCCCGGGCCUUGUACACACCGCCCGUCACACCAUGGAAGUUGGCCAUGCCCGAAGCCGUUACUCCAACCCUUGUGGAGGAGGACGUCGAAGGUGGGGCUGAUGACUGGGGUGAAGUCGUAACAAGGUAGCCGUACCGGAAGGUGCGGCUGGAUCACCUCCUAA